CAGUAGCCGCGGGAAUACGGAGGGUGCAAGCGUUAAUCGGAAUUACUGGGCGUAAAGCGCACGCAGGCGGUCUGUCAAGUCAGAUGUGAAAUCCCCGGGCUUAACCUGGGAACUGCAUUUGAAACUGGCAGGCUAGAGUCUUGUAGAGGGGGGUAGAAUUCCAGGUGUAGCGGUGAAAUGCGUAGAGAUCUGGAGGAAUACCGGUGGCGAAGGCGGCCCCCUGGACAAAGACUGACGCUCAGGUGCGAAAGCGUGGGGAGCAAACAGGAUUAGAUACCCCCGUAGUCCUGUCUCUUAUACA
RNAcentral lists this ribosomal RNA (301 nucleotides) under uncultured bacterium. RNAcentral's name for it is "partial 16S ribosomal RNA". It matches the Rfam family "Bacterial small subunit ribosomal RNA", at positions 509 to 809 of the family's 1533-position model. The record is from RNAcentral.